Non-coding RNA from Paramormyrops kingsleyae, 571 nucleotides. NCBI's taxonomy places the organism in Eukaryota, Metazoa, Chordata, Actinopteri, Osteoglossiformes, Mormyridae. The record is from RefSeq and is a predicted model, not a curated record.
CAGUCGCCCGCGCGCGCAUGUUCAGUGAGCGCGCGGGCGCUGGAAUGCGCUCUGCUGCUCCGGCGAGAUAAAUUUAGGGAAGAGUGGAAUGGAGGAAAGGGUAAUUUAAGGUCAAGUUCAGCAGAACAUUUUUUUUCCCGACAGGGGGAGGUGUGCUGCACUCACCUGCUUUUUAAAUCGGCUGCACUGACAGGAAAAAGCUGCGGUUCGUUUCGCACGUGCUUUACCUUUACCAGGCUAUAUCAUCUGGGCUUGUGUAAGUUCACUCCGACAAUGACGAAAAUGACGCAUUUCACAGAACGCAUCUAUGUUGUUAAGCGACAAAUGACUAUUGAUUCUGGGGGUCGGCGCCGUACCCGUAACCGACAGCUGUUUGUGGCGUCGUUGCACGGCGACCCCAUGUGUCACAACUGGCGGCUAAUGAAGGCACCGCCAUAAGGAGGCUGAUCGCGGCUGCAGUUGGAGAGGGAGAGGAGAACGAUUUGCCAACUCAGCUCUCCUCCAUGGAGUCCGGCACUGUCUUAUUUGAGAACUUCCUUAUGUUUUCUUGCUAAUAAAAUGCUUCGCACUA